AAUCUGCAUUUUCUGUUCUAUUUAUCUGAAGUCCAUCAUCUAGGGAUGCCAGUGGGUACUUUUGUGACCCAACAAAGGCUAUUGGCAGAGUAGCCUGCCACCCUCUGUGUAGCUGUAAAGGAUGAAGGUGGAGCCCUGUAGAAAUACUAUUCCCAAGAUCUUUUGACAUCUGGAUAACCCUCCCCCUACCAUAUCUAAAUUGGUUCAAGACCUUGGCAAUCUGCAUCACUGGACCCAAAGUGGGUCGCAGUCCAUCAUCGAAGGUAUGAAAUCAAGCAGGAACUGAAGCAGACACCAUGGAGGAAAUUCUGCUUCCCAACUCAGUUUCCAGCUUACUAUCUGCUGGCUUUCUGAUACAGGCCAGGUCUACCUGGUUAGGGAUGCUGCUACUCAGAGUGAGCUAAGCCCUUCCAUAUCAACUAUCAGUUAGGACCAUUCCGAAAAGACAGGCUAACAGGGCAAUUAGAUUGAAGCAAGUCUCCAACUGAGGUCAUUAUCUAGGUGACUCUAGAUUGCGUACAGUUAAAAAUCAAGUCCAAUAAACCUGUUUAGUACAGCAAUGUUGACAAUAGCCAAGCUAUGGAAGCCUGUGUUUUAUAUUCAAAAUGAAUAAAAGACCUCAAAUAGCUAAAA
This is a long non-coding RNA of Mus musculus (house mouse), 633 nucleotides long. RefSeq annotates it as predicted gene, 46613. The record is from RefSeq and is a predicted model, not a curated record. NCBI's taxonomy places the organism in Eukaryota, Metazoa, Chordata, Mammalia, Rodentia, Muridae. The transcript has 2 exons.